CUCGUGUCGUGAGAUGUUGGGUUAAGGUACCCGCCAACGAGCGCAACCCCUACGCAUUCAGUUGCCAUCGGGUAAUGCCGGGCACUCUGGAAGGACUGCCAUCGACAAGAUGGAGGAAGGUGGGGAUGACGUCAAGUCAUCAUGGCCCUUAUGUCCAGGGCGACACACGUGCUACAAUGGCCGGCACAACGGGAAGCGAGUUCGCGAGGACGAGCGGAUCCCUCAAAGCCGGUCGCAGUUCGGAUUGAAGUCUGCAACUCGACUUCAUGAAGCUGGAAUCGCUAGUAAUCGUGGAUCAGCCAAGCCGCGGUGAAUACGUUCCCGGGCCUU
This 330-nucleotide ribosomal RNA is filed under the name uncultured Synergistaceae bacterium. RNAcentral's name for it is "bacterial SSU rRNA". It matches the Rfam family "Bacterial small subunit ribosomal RNA", at positions 1059 to 1382 of the family's 1533-position model. Lineage: Bacteria; Thermotogati; Synergistota; Synergistia; Synergistales; Synergistaceae. The record is from RNAcentral.